RNAcentral lists this long non-coding RNA (780 nucleotides) under Sorghum bicolor (sorghum). RNAcentral describes it as "long non-coding RNA (SBIC_LNC011620)". The record is from RNAcentral. Lineage: Eukaryota; Viridiplantae; Streptophyta; Magnoliopsida; Poales; Poaceae.
GGGAAGUAUUUCGCAGUGCAUUGCAGAGAGGCUGCCAGAUAAUGAGACUUAGCUUGUGACCUUUAAUUUUAUUCUCUAGCCGCAUUUGCAGUACUAGCUAGUGUACUAGUGUCAUGAUUCUGUCUCAGCUGUGGUCUCUGCUGGGUUUUCGUAAGGAUGCAGCUAGGGAAUAAUAGUGGACAUGCAUGCCAUCACACACUUGACAUGUAAUAAUCCAACGACCAUCCACCGGCCGCGAUCCAUCCUUCAUUUUCGACCCUUGCAACAUCAGAGUUUGUUAGGCUUUGAAAUGCACUAGCUUUUAGAGUAGUAGUAGUAGUAGUAGUAGUAGUAGUAGUAGAGACAUGCAUUGCCAUAGCCGACAAUUAAUUCACUGUUAUUCUCUACUACCUGGACGUGUCUUCUCCGAUCCUUCCAAUUUCUCCAAAGUAUAUAUUGUUCCCUCUCUUUCGUCAUCUUUUUCGGUUUGGAUUGAGACCUCGACAACCGACAGCCGUUUGAUGCAUGCCGAGAUGACUUUGCUGCUGCUAUAUAUUCUAGUGUGAGUGUGAGUGUGAGUGUGGGUGACGCUUUUUAAUUUCGAAAUUAUUCACUUUUUGUGUGCGCGUUCUAAUUUGCAUGGGAUGGGCAGUCAAUUGUGGAAAAGGGGAAGAUGCGACCGAUGCAAGGGACUGCACACAAGCCAUGGGAUGAAAAGCAUGCAGUGAGCUCUGAAUAUCAAAUGACAAAAUUCAAUUCCUCAAAUACUUCUUCAAGAAUUGGGAAUGGCAAAAAAAAAAU